Molecule: ribosomal RNA, 253 nt
Filed under: uncultured bacterium
Lineage: Bacteria
Description: partial 16S ribosomal RNA
Rfam family: Bacterial small subunit ribosomal RNA
Source: RNAcentral
UACGUAGGGUGCGAGCGUUGUCCGGAAUUAUUGGGCGUAAAGGGCUCGUAGGCGGUUUGUCGCGUCGGGAGUGAAAACUCAGGGCUCAACCCUGAGCGUGCUUCCGAUACGGGCAGACUAGAGGUAUGCAGGGGAGAACGGAAUUCCUGGUGUAGCGGUGGAAUGCGCAGAUAUCAGGAGGAACACCGGUGGCGAAGGCGGUUCUCUGGGCAUUACCUGACGCUGAGGAGCGAAAGCAUGGGGAGCAAACAGG